CAUUACCUACAUGCCUCUCCACCUUUUCUCCCCACUUUCCUUUUCAUCACCCUGCCUCUUUCCACAGGGAGCCUUCUGGAAAGGAGUCAGCAGUCACUGGGUGUCUCUCCUGCUUCACGUUUCAUUUGCCCCACUCGCUUCCAAGGAGGCAAGCGCUUCUCUUACUCCACUGCGAGUCGCCUUGCAAAGGUCGUUGUCAGACCCCUAAUCACCCGACCCAAAGUGUUGAAGAGAAGGCAGACAAACCCACCAAGGCCCAAGCAGAGUUUUUAAUGCAGCAAAGACUUACGACCUCAGCGUGCUUCGUCAGUAAGCUCCCGGAAGGACACAGAUGCUGUAUGUUGGUUCCACUGAAACUUCCAGAGCCCCUCUCCAGGAUCCUGACUGGCAGAGCCCCUUACAACGUGGUCCGCUUUCCCUGUUUCUACCUGCAGACGAACAUUGCCGCGGAUGGAGGCUGGAACUCUGCCGUAAGUGAGAGCAGACACUAUGGGCAGCCAGAAUCGCAGCACCGUAGGUUAAAAAAAGCCUCUGAACAUAACUGAUCAGAAGGCUCCCUCCUCUUUUUUUUUUUUUUUGAAAGAAAAUACUGGUGGCGACAAAAAAGGGGAAAUGAAAACGAAACAUGUAAUUGAGUCCAGCUGGGUCUGCUGCCAGCAGAAGUCCGUCUCUUAGAGUCAGUGUAGCUCAGAGCACUUGGAAAUUAAUGGGGUGGAAUUAGUUUGAAGUUUAUGGCAAUUUGGCACACAAGUGCUUUGAACGCUAAUCUCGAAUUUGGAGAUGGUUGGCAUUGCCUCUGACCUCAUCCUUUUAUCUCUGCAUCUCUAACGGACUCAUUACUUUAUUUAGAAAAUUUUCAGGAUUUACCCACAUUCUUGAUAAAUUAUCACAGUUCAUGAUUGAAUCCUUUCUUUCCUCAGAUUCCUGUGUUGUUGUUGUUUCCUUUCAGGAAGGCUUUCUGUGCCUUUAUUUCUUUAUCCUAAACAUGUGAGGUAUUUCUAGGACCGUGGGCAAAAAGUCAGUUUCUGGAAUCUAGCUAAUAACUCCUCCAACUGGACUGCUUUUAAGACAAGGGCAGGAAAGGCAAUGGGGGCUUAUUGAAUUUUAAGGCACUUUACCUAAUACACACUUGGCAAAACUAAUGAAAGACUUUGGGGAACAAUGGAACAUAGACACAUGUCACAGACUUUAAAAAAUUAACAGCUUUAUUGAGAUAUAAUUGCAUACCGUAGAAUUCAUCCCUUUAAAGCACACAUUCAGUGGUUUUUAGUCUAUUCACAGAGUUGUGCAAUCAUCAUCAUUAUCUAAUUUCAGAGUGUUUUCAUCACCCCCCAAAGAAACCCCGUGUCCAUUAGCAGUCACUCCCUAUUCUGUCCCUCCAAGCUCUUGGCAACCACGAAUCUAUUUUCCAUCUCCAUGGAUUUGCCUAUUCUGGACAUUUCAUGUAAGUGAAAUCAUCUAAUAUGCAGCCUUCUGUGUCUGGUUUCCGGCCCUUAGCAUGAUGUUUUCUCAGUACAUCCAUGGUGUCGCAUGCAUCGAUAAUUCAGUCUUUUUUAUCGCUGAAUAAUAUUCUGUUUUGUGGACAUACUACAUUUUGGUUAUCCAUUCAUCAGUUGACGGGCGUUCCGAUUGCUUCCAUUUUUAAGACGAUUGUGAGUCAUGCGCUGUAAACACGGGGUUAAGUUUUUCUGAGGGCUUGCGUUUUAGUUCCUCUUGGGUAAAUACCUAGGGGUAGAAUUUCUGAGUCAUAUGUGACAGACCGAAUAUACAGACGGAAAAUGUCCGGAUCAUACACAAAAACAGCACUCAGACCCAUAACCUGCAACAACUUGCCCACAGAUCCAUCUCCCUAUCUGCAAUAAACAGCUCAGAAAGCCAGAAGUCA
Molecule: long non-coding RNA, 1885 nt
Filed under: Felis catus (domestic cat)
Lineage: Eukaryota; Metazoa; Chordata; Mammalia; Carnivora; Felidae
Description: lncRNA (ENSFCAG00000041045.2)
Source: RNAcentral